This 419-nucleotide ribosomal RNA is filed under the name bacterium. RNAcentral's name for it is "partial 16S ribosomal RNA". It matches the Rfam family "Bacterial small subunit ribosomal RNA", at positions 355 to 776 of the family's 1533-position model. The record is from RNAcentral.
UGGGGGAUAUUGCACAAUGGGCGAAAGCCUGAUGCAGCGACGCCGCGUGGGGGAUGAAGGCCUUCGGGUUGUAAACUUCUUUUGCUCUGAACAAGGCGCACCAUGGGGUGUGUUGAGUGUAGGGGUUGAUUAGCGCCGGCUAACUACGUGCCAGCAGCCGCGGUAAUACGUAGGGCGCGAGCGUUGUCCGGAAUUAUUGGGCGUAAAGGGCUUGUAGGUGGCUGGUUGCGUCUGUCGUGAAAGCUCAUGGCUUAACUGUGGGUUUGCGGGGGGUACGGGCUGGCUUGAGUGCAGUAGGGGAGGCUGGAAUUCCUGGUGUAGCGGUGCAAUGCGCAGAUAUCAGGAGGAAUACCGGUGGCGAAGGCGGGUCUCUGGGCUGUUACUGACACUGAGGAGCGAAAGCAUGGGGAGCGAACAGG